AUGAAACACUCCUACGGGAGGCAGCAGUGGGGAAUCUUCCGCAAUGGGCGCAAGCCUGACGGAGCAACGCCGCGUGAGUGAAGAAGGUCUUCGGAUCGUAAAGCUCUGUUGAUGGGGACGAACGUGCGAAGGGUGAAUAAUCCUUUGCAAUGACGGUACCUAUCGAGGAAGCCACGGCUAACUACGUGCCAGCAGCCGCGGUAAUACGUAGGUGGCGAGCGUUGUCCGGAAUCAUUGGGCGUAAAGGGAGCGCAGGCGGGCAUGUAAGUCUUUCUUAAAAGUUCGGGGCUCAACCCCGUGAUGGGAAAGAAACUACAUGUCUUGAGUACAGGAGAGGAAAGCGGAAUUCCCAGUGUAGCGGUGAAAUGCGUAGAUAUUGGGAGGAACACCAGUGGCGAAGGCGGCUUUCUGGACUGCAACUGACGCUGAGGCUCGAAAGCCAGGGGAGCGAACGGGAUUAGAAACCCUAGUAGUCCGAAGUUC
This 483-nucleotide ribosomal RNA is filed under the name uncultured bacterium. RNAcentral's name for it is "bacterial SSU rRNA". It matches the Rfam family "Bacterial small subunit ribosomal RNA", at positions 328 to 802 of the family's 1533-position model. The record is from RNAcentral.